GACGAGGUGCCAGAGUGGUCUAAUGGGUAUGACUAGAAAUCAUAUGGCUUCGGUCGCACAGGUUCGAAUCCUGUUCUCGUCG
Grosmannia clavigera kw1407 is the source of this 82-nucleotide transfer RNA. It matches the Rfam family "tRNA". Rfam says of the family: Transfer RNA (tRNA) molecules are approximately 80 nucleotides in length. Lineage: Eukaryota; Fungi; Ascomycota; Sordariomycetes; Ophiostomatales; Ophiostomataceae. The record is from Rfam.